Molecule: ribosomal RNA, 494 nt
Filed under: uncultured bacterium
Lineage: Bacteria
Description: partial 16S ribosomal RNA
Rfam family: Bacterial small subunit ribosomal RNA
Source: RNAcentral
GACGAACGCUGGCGGCGUGCUUAACACAUGCAAGUCGAACGGUGAAGCGCCUUCCUUUUUGGUGGGUGUGGAUGAGUGGCGAACGGGUGAGUAACACGUGAGUAACCUGCCCCCUUCUUCUGGAUAACCGCAUGAAAGUGUGGCUAAUACGGGAUAUUCUGGGUCUGUCGCAUGAUGGGUCUGGGAAAGAUAUUGUUUCGGUGGGGGAUGGGCUCGCGGCCUAUCAGCUUGUUGGUGGGGUGAUGGCCUACCAAGGCGGGGACGGGUAGCCGGCCUGAGAGGGUGGUCGGUCACACUGGGGCUGAGCCACGGCCCAGACUCCUACGGGAGGCAGCAGUGGGGAAUAUUGCACAAUGGGCGCAAGCCUGAUGCAGCGACGCCGCGUGAGGGAUGGAGGCCUUCGGGUUGUGAACCUCUUUCGCCAGUGAAGCAGGCCUGCCUCGUUUGUGGGUGGGUUGACGGUAGCUGGAUAAGAAGCGCCGGCUAACUACGUG